GAUGAACGCUGGCGGCGUGCCUAAUACAUGCAAGUCGAGCGAACAGAUGAGGAGCUUGCUCCUCUGACGUUAGCGGCGGACGGGUGAGUAACACGUGGAUAACCUACCUAUAAGACUGGGAUAACUUCGGGAAACCGGAGCUAAUACCGGAUAAUAUAUUGAACCACAUGGUUCAAUAGUGAAAGACGGUUUUGCUGUCACUUAUAGAUGGAUCCGCGCCGCAUUAGCUAGUUGGUAAGGUAACGGCUUACCAAGGCAACGAUGCGUAGCCGACCUAAGAGGGUGAUCGGCCACACUGGAACUGAGACACGGUCCAGACUCCUACGGGAGGCAGCAGUAGGGAAUCUUCCGCAAUGGGCGAAAGCCUGACGGAGCAACGCCGCGUGAGUGAUGAAGGUCUUCGGAUCGUAAAACUCUGUUAUUAGGGAAGAACAAAUGUGUAAGUAACUAUGCACGUCUUGACGGUACCUAAUCAGAAAGCCACGGCUAACUACGUG
This 497-nucleotide ribosomal RNA is filed under the name uncultured bacterium. RNAcentral describes it as "partial 16S ribosomal RNA". It matches the Rfam family "Bacterial small subunit ribosomal RNA", at positions 28 to 507 of the family's 1533-position model. The record is from RNAcentral.